GUGGCCCUGUUGGUGUCUUUGUUCCAGCCCGCCCGCCCCGAAAGGCAGGAGUCUCUCUGCCUUCAAGGAGCUGGAAACGCAGUCACAGCUCUCUCACUACAGAGGCCGGGCUUGUGGCAAACCAGGAGUCGUAUUUGUGUUUACUUUCCUGCCUUGCGCAGCUGAGCUGCACUUGAGUGACUCCCAUUAACAAGCAUGAAGUUACUUAAUGGCCUUGCCUGUCUGCUGUUUUCUGUUACGCUGCCAUCCUGUGAACGGCCUUCUGUGCUACCUCUGCUCACUCUGCCCUGAUAACACUGAAUACAGGAACUGUCUCCAUCACCCAGAACUCCCGGAACCAAGCACUCAGCCCGACACGUCAUACUUAUUAAAAACACGGAGGUCGUGAGUGGAUUUCCACGUAUUGUUCUAGAUGAUGGAAAGGCCUGAAGAGUGAGGAGUGGGGAAGAAAUGUCAUCACUGUUUUCACCCGCAUCCUUGUUUCAGAGAAGUGAAUAGUCAUUCAUCUCUGGUCAACAAAAUGAUAAUAGUAGCAGUAACAAUAAUAUUCUCUUUUUUUGAGCGCUU
This is a long non-coding RNA of Pan troglodytes (chimpanzee), 567 nucleotides long. RefSeq lists it as uncharacterized. The transcript has 2 exons. The record is from RefSeq and is a predicted model, not a curated record. Lineage: Eukaryota; Metazoa; Chordata; Mammalia; Primates; Hominidae.